This 284-nucleotide long non-coding RNA is filed under the name Panax ginseng (ginseng). RNAcentral's name for it is "long non-coding RNA (PGIN_LNC004785)". The record is from RNAcentral. Lineage: Eukaryota; Viridiplantae; Streptophyta; Magnoliopsida; Apiales; Araliaceae.
AUUGAUCUCACUUGAUUGAUUCUUUAUAUCAUUGUCAUCAUCCUCAUGCUUAUAUUGUGGUGAAAGUCAUCUUUGUCCCGUAGUGCAAAGAUGAACUGUUGAUUGGUAUAAUUAUGACCAGGAAUUGUGUAAUGGUAUAAUCAUGACUUGUAAUGUUACAGUCAAAGGUUUGCGGUGAAAGUCCUUUUUGGCCCGUAGUGCAUAGAUGGACAGUUGUUUGACAUGAUCAUGACAACUAGUGAUACAAACGAAUAUCUUUGCUCGUAGUGCAUGGAUAAUUUGUU